RNAcentral lists this transfer RNA (73 nucleotides) under Berkeleya fennica. RNAcentral's name for it is "tRNA-Phe". It matches the Rfam family "tRNA". Rfam says of the family: Transfer RNA (tRNA) molecules are approximately 80 nucleotides in length. Their secondary structure includes four short double-helical elements and three loops (D, anti-codon, and T loops). The record is from RNAcentral. Lineage: Eukaryota; Bacillariophyta; Bacillariophyceae; Naviculales; Berkeleyaceae.
GUUUGGAUAGCUCAGUUGGUAGAGCAGUGGAUUGAAGAUCCUCGUGUCACCAGUUCAAACCUGCCUCUAAACA